GGCUACUCUCUCAUUGUCAUGUUCUGGCAAACUCUCCUGGUCUCUCCAUACCUUCUUCUUGUGAUGCUCUGUUUCUCCAUUUGGUCUGUUUAUGGGACCCCCUGACUUAGGUUGGAGGUCCUUCCUUAUUCUCUUAUGCCCAGCUAACUCUCUGAUCAGAUCUUUAUUAGGCAAUCAGAGGUGAUGGAGAAGAAUGUUUAUGAAAAAUGUUGAUACUGGGGGUGCUUCAUAAAAAUAACAAUACCAAAUUCUAGCCUGUAUUCAACUCUCUGCAGGUACAGAAAUACACACUUGAAUAACACAAAGACAACCUUUACACAGCACACAAAACCAUCCCCCAACAUGACCCCUGUGUAGUUUGUGACAGAUUGACAACCACUGCUUUUGGGUGUUUUUCAUGGUCCUCAUCUUCCUUUGAGACAUGUUCUAAAAGCCCUGCUUGUUGCAGUGCCCCAAGGUAUGGCUCAGAUACAGUUGGAGGCCUAAUGGCCAGCACAUACUAGACACUAGUAAAUUGUGUUUCUUAUAAGUAUCAGAGAUGAAGAUGAAGGGAGAAAAGAAAGACAAUUGUGACCAUAGAUGAGCUAAUCAUGGUGCUAAGAAAACUGACGUAUUUGUAUCAAUUAUGAACUGACCAGCUUCCUAGUUAAACUUCUAUUAUUAAUGCUGGGAAAACGGAAGAAGCCAUGGGGUAGAUACCAGAACGGUUUAUAUCUUCCAUCACUGCAGACUUCUAUUACCAUUUUGAUGACAGCUUUAUGUUUUGAAAUGUUUUUGUUUGCCUAAUUGAUUUUAUUACAGUUUAAUUCAUUUUGUGUUUUCUUUUUUGCCUUUUUUCGCCAUUCAUUAAUGUAUUUAUUCACUUUGCAGCCUGAUUACAGACCCCCUCCCAGUCUGACCCUUACAGAUCCCUCUCCUGAUUAUGCCUUGCCCUUCUUCUCAGAGAAGGGGAGCCCCCUUGAGAACUAUCCAGCCCUGGGACAUCUAGGGUUGAGCAUGGGACUGAGCAUGUCCUCUCCCUCUCAGACACAACAGGCAGCCCAGUUAAGACAAGGGGAUCAACUGGCAGGCAACAGAAUCAAGAGACAGCCUCCAACCUCAUGAAGUUCAACCUGCACGUCUGCUACACAUGUGUAGGGAGCCUAGGUCCAGUUCCUGCGUGCUCUUUGGUUGGUGGCUCAGUCUUUGUGAGCCCCAGGUUUGUUGACUUUGUGAGUCUUCUUGUGGUGUCCUUAAUCCCGUCUGCUUGCUCACUUCUAUCCCUUCCUCUUCCACGAGACUUUCUGAGCUCCAUCUGAUAUUUGGCUGCCUCUGCUGCUGGAUGAAGCUUCUCAGGAGACAGUUAUGCUAGGUUUCUUGUUUGCAAGUGUAGCAGAGUAUCAUUAAUAGUGUUGGCUCUCUCCUAUUAGAUGGGUCUCAAGUUGGUCUAGUCAUUGAUUGACCAGGCAUUCAGUUUCUGUUUCCUCUUUUUCCCUGCACAUCUUGUACAGGGACAGAUUUUGUGUUGAAGGUCUUAUGGGUAGGUUGAUAUCCCUGUUCCUCUACUGGAAGCACAAGGCUGUCUUCCUGAUACUUGCUACACCAGGAACAUCCAGGGACAACCACAUGAUUAAAAGCCAGUGUAAGAAGAGAAUCAACUAAAGCCAGGGCCAUAUGACACCUUCAGAGCACAGCUAUCCUACUACAGCAAGCCCUGUCUAUCCUAACAUAGACAAAGCACAAGGAAAUGACCUUAAAUCCAAUCUUAUAAGAGGAUAGAGGCCUUUGAGGAGGAAGUGAAUAAAUUCCUUAAGAAAUACAGGAAAAUGCAAUUAAAUAGGUGAAGGAGAUGAAUAAGACUGUUCAAGUUCUGAAGAUAGAAAAUAAAAGCAAUAAAACACAAACACAAAGAAUUGUGGAGAUGGAAACCUAGGGAAGAGAACAGGAACAACAGAUGAAAGCAUCAUCAACAGAAUAAUUAGAGUUGGAAGAGAGAAUCUCAGGUGUAGAAGCCAUGAUAGAAGAAAUUGAUACAUCAGCCAAAGAAAAUGUUCAACCUAAAAAACAUCCUGACACAAAACAUUCAGGAAAUCUGGGGUAUCAUGAAAAGACCUAUCCUAAGAAUCAUAGGAGUAGAAGAAGGCCAAAAAGUCCCAACUCCAAAACCCAGAAGCUAUUUUCAAGAAAAUCAUAGAAGAAAAAUUUUCAACCUAAAGAAAAAAAUGCCUAUAAAUAUACAUGGAGCUUACAGAACACCAAUUAUAUUGGAUGAGAAAAGAAAAUCCACUCACCACAAAAUAAUCAAAACACUAAAUUUAUAC
Molecule: long non-coding RNA, 2300 nt
Filed under: Mus musculus (house mouse)
Lineage: Eukaryota; Metazoa; Chordata; Mammalia; Rodentia; Muridae
Description: long non-coding RNA chr12:36502679-36504979
Source: RNAcentral